Molecule: ribosomal RNA, 490 nt
Filed under: uncultured bacterium
Lineage: Bacteria
Description: partial 16S ribosomal RNA
Rfam family: Bacterial small subunit ribosomal RNA
Source: RNAcentral
GAUGAACGCUAGCGGCAGGCCUAAUACAUGCAAGUCGAACGGGAUCCAGAUCAAAGCUUGCUUUGGUCUGGUGAGAGUGGCGCACGGGUGCGUAACGCGUGAGCAACCUACCCUUGUCAGGGGGAUAGCCCGGCGAAAGUCGGAUUAAUACCGCAUGACAUCAUUGAGAGGCAUCUUUCGAUGAUCAAAGAUUUAUCGGACAAGGAUGGGCUCGCGUGACAUUAGCUGGUUGGUAAGGUAACGGCUUACCAAGGAUGCGAUGUCUAGGGGCUCUGAGAGGGGGAUACCCCAGACUGGUACUGAGGCACGGACCAGAAUCCUACGGGAGGCAGCAGUAAGGAAUAUUGGUCAAUGGACGGAAGUCUGAACCAGCCAUGCCGCGGGCAGGAAGACGGCGCUAUGGGUUGUAAACUGCUUUUAUACGGGAACAAACGUCGGUACGUGUACCGGUCUGAGUGUACCGUAAGAAUAAGGAACGGCUAACUCCGUG